UCAGUCGUAUAUAUGACCGUCGAGCGUAUAACAGGGGUAGCUUGCUACCCGCUGACGAGCGGCGGACGGGUGAGUAAUGCUUAGGAAUCUGCCCAGUAGUGGGGGAUAGCCCGGGGAAACCCGGAUUAAUACCGCAUACGUCCUACGGGAGAAAGCAGGGGAUCUUCGGACCUUGCGCUAUUGGAUGAGCCUAAGUCGGAUUAGCUAGUUGGUGGGGUAAAGGCCUACCAAGGCGACGAUCCGUAGCUGGUCUGAGAGGAUGAUCAGCCACAUCGGGACUGAGACACGGCCCGAACUCCUACGGGAGGCAGCAGUGGGGAAUAUUGGACAAUGGGGGCAACCCUGAUCCAGCCAUGCCGCGUGUGUGAAGAAGGCUUUCGGGUUGUAAAGCACUUUCAGUAGGGAGGAAAACCUUAUGGCUAAUACCCAUGAGGCUUGACGUUACCUACAGAAGAAGCACCGGCUAACUCCGUGCCAGCAGCCGCGGUAAUACGGAGGGUGCAAGCGUUAAUCGGAAUUACUGGGCGUAAAGCGCGCGUAGGUGGUUUGGUAAGCGAGAUGUGAAAGCCCCGGGCUUAACCUGGGAACGGCAUUUCGAACUGUCAGACUAGAGUGUGGUAGAGGGUAGUGGAAUUUCCUGUGUAGCGGUGAAAUGCGUAGAUAUAGGAAGGAACACCAGUGGCGAAGGCGGCUACCUGGACCAACACUGACACUGAGGUGCGAAAGCGUGGGGGAGCAAACAGGAUUAGAUACCCUGGUAGUCCACGCCGUAAACGAUGUCAACUAGCCGUUGGGACUCUUGAAGUCUUAGUGGCGCAGCUAACGCACUAAAGUUGACCGCCUGGGGGAGUACGGGCCGCAAGGUUAAAACUCAAAUGAAUUGACGGGGCCCCGCACAAGCGGGUGGAGCAUGUGGUUUAAAUUCGACGCAAUCGCGAAGAAUCCUUACCCUGGCCUUGACAUCCCAGAAGAACUUUCCAGAGAUGGGAUUGGUGCCUUCGGGGAAACUCUGGAAGAACAGUGCCUGCA
Molecule: ribosomal RNA, 1029 nt
Filed under: Marinobacter sp. CDN6
Lineage: Bacteria; Pseudomonadati; Pseudomonadota; Gammaproteobacteria; Pseudomonadales; Marinobacteraceae
Description: bacterial SSU rRNA
Rfam family: Bacterial small subunit ribosomal RNA
Source: RNAcentral